GCAAUGGUGGUUCUGUGGUAGAAUUCUCACCUCCUACGCGGGCGACCUGGGUUCGAUUCCCGGUCAGUGCA
RNAcentral lists this transfer RNA (71 nucleotides) under Loxodonta africana (African savanna elephant). It matches the Rfam family "tRNA". From Rfam's summary of the family: Transfer RNA (tRNA) molecules are approximately 80 nucleotides in length. Lineage: Eukaryota; Metazoa; Chordata; Mammalia; Proboscidea; Elephantidae. The record is from Rfam by way of RNAcentral.